RNAcentral lists this ribosomal RNA (732 nucleotides) under Corynebacterium accolens. RNAcentral describes it as "bacterial SSU rRNA". It matches the Rfam family "Bacterial small subunit ribosomal RNA", at positions 43 to 788 of the family's 1533-position model. The record is from RNAcentral. Lineage: Bacteria; Bacillati; Actinomycetota; Actinomycetes; Mycobacteriales; Corynebacteriaceae.
CGUGCUUAACACAUGCAAGUCGAACGGAAAGGCCCUGCUUGCAGGGUACUCGAGUGGCGAACGGGUGAGUAACACGUGGGUGAUCUGCCCUGCACUUCGGGAUAAGCUUGGGAAACUGGGUCUAAUACCGGAUAGGARCCAUCUUUAGUGUGGUGGUUGGAAAGUUUUUUCGGUGUAGGAUGAGCYCGCGGCCUAUCAGCUUGUUGGUGGGGUAAUGGCCUACCAAGGCGGCGACGGGUAGCCGGCCUGAGAGGGUGUACGGCCACAUUGGGACUGAGAUACGGCCCAGACUCCUACGGGAGGCAGCAGUGGGGAAUAUUGCACAAUGGGCGCAAGCCUGAUGCAGCGACGCCGCGUGGGGGAUGAAGGCCUUCGGGUUGUAAACUCCUUUCGCUAGGGACGAAGCUUUUUGUGACGGUACCUAGAUAAGAAGCACCGGCUAACUACGUGCCAGCAGCCGCGGUAAUACGUAGGGUGCGAGCGUUGUCCGGAAUUACUGGGCGUAAAGGGCUCGUAGGUGGUUUGUCGCGUCGUCUGUGAAAUUCUGGGGCUUAACUCCGGGCGUGCAGGCGAUACGGGCAUAACUUGAGUGCUGUAGGGGUAACUGGAAUUCCUGGUGUAGCGGUGAAAUGCGCAGAUAUCAGGAGGAACACCGAUGGCGAAGGCAGGUUACUGGGCAGUUACUGACGCUGAGGAGCGAAAGCAUGGGUAGCGAACAGGAUUAGAUACCCU